AUUAACAGUCCGUUGGUGGUCAGCACUUCACCGGUCAUUAACGGCUGCUUCCACGGGGAACUCUGGCGGGAAGCCAAAACUUUGCAUUUGUCAGCUCCAGUUCUACCGAAUCCCAAAGGAGUUCUGCUGGAUUCACAUCUGCCGGCUGGAGUGGUCUCUGAAUCCACGGAACUGGACAGAAAGCCGUUAGGAGAUGCCGACGUUUGGAAACUCAGCAGCAGAGAUUCAUCUCUUCUUAACAGACCAUCAACACACAGCCAGAGGUGAAGUCACUUUUAUGGAAAUGAGGAAGACGAGACGAAGCAGUUUGGAGGCCGAAGCAGCGACAGACGAACACAAGUGGAACAGAAAGGAGUUUCUGCCAUUUGUACGUUCAGCUGAAGUCCUCCAAACCUUGUUUCUGAGGCAGAGCUCAUUUUGGAGAAUCGGCUCAGUGAGCAGAGCAGAAGAAAGACCAGCUAUAGAGGUCUGACCAGGCGUGACCGUCAGCCUUCCCGGGACAAAUCCUCAACACAGCGAUCAUGAUCAGCGGACGAACACAACGAGGC
Amphiprion ocellaris (clown anemonefish) is the source of this 548-nucleotide long non-coding RNA. NCBI's taxonomy places the organism in Eukaryota, Metazoa, Chordata, Actinopteri, Pomacentridae. The record is from Ensembl.